This is a long non-coding RNA of Anopheles gambiae (African malaria mosquito), 463 nucleotides long. RefSeq lists it as uncharacterized. The transcript is spliced from 2 exons. The record is from RefSeq and is a predicted model, not a curated record. Lineage: Eukaryota; Metazoa; Arthropoda; Insecta; Diptera; Culicidae.
GCUGACCGGCGGCCCGGCCGAGUGCCGGACGUUGUGAAUGGUAGUGAAGCUACUUCACGACCAAGGUCGCAGGAGGCUGGUGUAUGAGUGGAUUCGUAUUUUAAAGUUGGCCCCCAAAAUCAACCCUGAGGGCGCACAUCACUUUAUGAAAAGAGUUGCUCUAGUACCACGAGAACAUGAUUGUUUUUUUUCAGAUUCCCUACACGUGGAUGUGAUAGAGGCAUGGCAUACUAGUUUCGCAAAUAUCACACAGUUUUCUCGCUCAUCAAUGCACAGAGCCCACAAUGUGCCGUGAUAGUGAAUAUCGAACAUUACCGGUAGAGCGAUACUGUGUUUGCGGUUUUCCACCGCUCCGAGGAAAUGAACCUUUUGGUUUCACACGUGACGGGUUUGGCUGCAGCCUUUAUGUAACCGAGCAUCGAUAGUGAAGCUGGGGAAUAAAUCAUUCCUUGUUAGAUUUUCC